RNAcentral lists this small RNA (110 nucleotides) under Salmonella enterica. Its description in RNAcentral is "partial RtT sRNA". It matches the Rfam family "RtT RNA", at positions 22 to 130 of the family's 130-position model. From Rfam's summary of the family: This family represents a bacterial cis-regulatory element known as RtT RNA. The record is from RNAcentral. Lineage: Bacteria; Pseudomonadati; Pseudomonadota; Gammaproteobacteria; Enterobacterales; Enterobacteriaceae.
AUGAGAAGCUUCGACUAAGGUUCGAUUCGAGCGCAGCGAGAAAGCGUUGCCGUAGGCAACGACCCGAAGGGCGAAGCGCGCAGCGCUGAGUAAUCCUUCCCCCGUCAUCC